GGGAGUUGGAGUGGGGGAGAGAGAUGGGACCCUAUCUCUCUUUUCCCUUCUUCAGGGCACACUGGGUCAUGAAGGCCAUGAGGGCCCAAGAGGAGAGAAAGGAGCCAAGGGCGGGAGGGGCAGAGAUGGCCCCCCUGGCAGAACAGGGCCUGUGGGGGUACAAGGCCCCCCUGGGAGACAAGGAUCUGAGGGUCUUCGAGGGAUCCCUGGGGCCACGGUGAGGGCGGACCACGGUAGGGGUGGAUGGAGUGGUGGAAGGGGGUUGGGUAGGGGAAGGUGGAUAGGAGGAUGGGCAGUGGGGGUGGAUGGGGAGACAGACAACGGGAUGGAUGGGGGAACGAGACGGGGGGAAUUGGUGAGGGUUUGGAGCUAAUUCUCUUCCAAUUGGGGGUUUUCAGGGCGAGCAGGGACUCCUGGGUCCCCCGGGCCAGACAGGUCCUCCCGGCCCCCUGGUGAGUUCCUGUUCUGUCCUGGAGAGGGGACGAGUCUGCUCGGACCCUGGCCCCUUGCCCAGGACUCCCUUCCCCCCCCGCAUCCAUGCUGAUCCCCGAGUCUCCCAUCGAGCCGAGGGGCCGGAUUUCUUCCGGAAAGUCCACUCCGCUGCUCCAAGCCUCAGUGCCCUGACACCUGACACUCCCAGUCCCCUCCCCAGUCCCAUCCCCAGCGGGCUGGCAGUCACCACCCCCACCCUCUCCCCCUGCCCCCGCCUCCGCCCCAGGGUCCGAGCGGCCUGCCAGGUCUGAGAGGGGAUCCCGGCUUGAAAGGGGAAAAGGUAAGUGUCCAGGGCUGGGUCUGGGCAUGGGGCCGGGCAUGGAGUUGGGGCUAAGACUAGGGGCUAGGGCUGGAGCCCUCACCCUCACAGUAAUUCCUCACCUCCCCUCUCCCCGCUUCAGGGCCACAUCGGUUUAAAUGGACUCUUUGGCGCUCCAGGGGAGCAUGGAGAGAAGGGAGACAGGGGGCUACCAGGCCCCCAGGGCACACAGGGUCCAAAGGGAGAGCCGGUACGUAUGCGGUUAGCAAUGGCCAAUUUAUCAGCUAA
RNAcentral lists this long non-coding RNA (1039 nucleotides) under Ornithorhynchus anatinus (platypus). RNAcentral's name for it is "lncRNA (ENSOANG00000051341.1)". Lineage: Eukaryota; Metazoa; Chordata; Mammalia; Monotremata; Ornithorhynchidae. The record is from RNAcentral.